This 535-nucleotide ribosomal RNA is filed under the name Trichosporon asahii. RNAcentral describes it as "eukaryotic LSU rRNA". It matches the Rfam family "Eukaryotic large subunit ribosomal RNA", at positions 114 to 638 of the family's 3401-position model. Lineage: Eukaryota; Fungi; Basidiomycota; Tremellomycetes; Trichosporonales; Trichosporonaceae. The record is from RNAcentral.
UUUGAAAUCUGGCAGUCUUCGAUUGUCCGAGUUGUAAUCUAUAGAGGCGUUUUCCGUGCCGGACCGUGUCCAAGUCUCCUGGAAAGGAGUAUCAAAGAGGGUGAUAAUCCCGUACUUAACACGACCACCGGUGCUCUGUGAUACGUCUUCUACGAGUCGAGUUGUUUGGGAAUGCAGCUCAAAAUGGGUGGUGAAUUCCAUCUAAAGCUAAAUAUUGGCGAGAGACCGAUAGCGAACAAGUACCGUGAGGGAAAGAUGAAAAGCACUUUGGAAAGAGAGUUAAACAGUACGUGAAAUUGUUGAAAGGGAAACGAUUGAAGUCAGUCGUGUUCUUUGGAUUCAGCCAGUUCUGCUGGUCUACUUCCUUGGAACGGGUCAACAUCAGUUUUGUCCGGUGGAUAAAGGUAGUAGGAAUGUGACUUCUCCGGAAGUGUUAUAGCCUAUUAUCACAUACACUGGGUGAGACUGAGGACUGCAGCUCGCCUUUAUGGCCGGCCUUCGGGCACGUUCGAGCUUAGGAUGUUGACAUAAUAGG